GUCUUUGCUCUCCCGGAUCUGUCACUUGCCCGCCCAUUGUAUGGUAAGCUUUUAAUUUUCUUUUAUUUUAGUGAACAAUUGUUCUUUCUUAAUUUCUUUAAAUCUUUUCUGGGUUUACUUAUGUUUGGUGAAAUUGGAUGUGGCUUUUUACUUUUCUCUUUUUGUGAGGAAUUAGCUCCAGCUUUUAUUUUUGCUAAGUAGGUGGAGGUAAUCGAACUACCAAUUUUCGAGCUGCUGCUGCCGAUGUUAUUCAAGUUCGAGCUGCUGCUACUUUCUUCAAGUUCGAGCACGGAGACUGUACUACGAGGAGUCGGCGACACGAGAAAGACGGCAAAUUAGCUGCCUCAUCUUCAAAUUAAAGGUAAAUUUUGGUGGACUUUGAGUUGAAAUUGAGUGAGUUUGAGUGGGAAGAUGAGGUUUUGAGAGAAAGAAAAAGUAUGUUUUGUUGGUGAGAAAGUGAGAAACUUUUUGGAUUUGGAAAGUGAUGGGUUCUUUAUUUUUACUUCUUUAUUGUUCUUUAUUGAGUAGAUGUUGACGGAACAAGCAUUAUAAUUAAGAUUUUCAACGGCAAAUAUAGAGAAAUAGAAGCAAACUUGGAUUCAGAGUAUGUAGCAGCAUUUUUUAGGUUUUUUUUUUGGUUUUUUGGGGAAGCAUUAAAUACUAAUAAUUAUUGUAGGUUUGUAUUGUAGGUUUGUGGUCUGAACAGUAGCUAUAACCUUAACCAUAGUUUGAGGUUUCUUUUCUGGAACCAUUCAUGGUAAUUUCAGGCAGAGAUUGUGCAUAAUAUGCAACAUGUCUGUGUCUCUUCAAUAGAAAGGUUUCGAGUUUGCAGUCUUACAAUGUAAUAAUUUGGUAAAGCAUUGCAAUUUGUACAUAUGCUAUUAUCUUUUGCACUCCUUUAUUUUCCUUAAUUAAUUAAUGAAAAAACUUGAGGUUCUCACUGCUCUGAAAUUUGCUCUAUUUGCUCAUAAGCAUGUUGAUAUUGCAAUAUCCAGGUGAUAUAUAAUUUUCACCUUAUUUUUUUAUUUCAGUAUUUUUCUGGGUACUAUUUCAUACACACAAGGGUUUGCACUCAUACUUCUUUAUCCUUCGCUGAACUUUGUAUCCAAAUGUCCUUUUCUUACCCAAUUAAAGAAGAGAGCAUGCUAAUGAUAAGUUUGCUUGCUUUUGAUGUAACAGGCUAGGCUGGUGGUGCUCAGGAUGCAGUAAAUAUCAUUCCUAGUUGAUAUAAUGGAUUGAGUAUGCAUUCAUUUCAGUUGUUUCAUGAAGAUAGGGUGAAUUUUAUUAAAUUGGCUUUUCCUUUUUUUUUUUAAUUCUGAGGACACUACACAAUAGAGCUUGAACUUUUGAAGAGUUUAGAUCAAAG
This 1366-nucleotide long non-coding RNA is filed under the name Citrus maxima (pomelo). RNAcentral describes it as "long non-coding RNA (CMAX_LNC003219)". The record is from RNAcentral. Lineage: Eukaryota; Viridiplantae; Streptophyta; Magnoliopsida; Sapindales; Rutaceae.